GGAGUGUCGCUCAGUGGUAGAGCAUAUGCUUAGCAUGCAUUAGGCCCUGGGUUCGAUCCCCAGCACACACA
This 71-nucleotide transfer RNA is filed under the name Heterocephalus glaber (naked mole-rat). It matches the Rfam family "tRNA". From Rfam's summary of the family: Transfer RNA (tRNA) molecules are approximately 80 nucleotides in length. Their secondary structure includes four short double-helical elements and three loops (D, anti-codon, and T loops). Further hydrogen bonds mediate the characteristic L-shaped molecular structure. tRNAs have two regions of fundamental functional importance: the anti-codon, which is responsible for specific mRNA codon recognition, and the 3' end, to which the tRNAs corresponding amino acid is attached (by aminoacyl-tRNA synthetases). tRNAs cope with the degeneracy of the genetic code in two manners: having more than one tRNA (with a specific anti-codon) for a particular amino acid; and 'wobble' base-pairing, i.e. permitting non-standard base-pairing at the 3rd anti-codon position. The record is from Rfam by way of RNAcentral. Lineage: Eukaryota; Metazoa; Chordata; Mammalia; Rodentia; Bathyergidae.